This 98-nucleotide small nuclear RNA is filed under the name Mus caroli (Ryukyu mouse). The record is from RNAcentral. Lineage: Eukaryota; Metazoa; Chordata; Mammalia; Rodentia; Muridae.
UUGCUUUGGAAGCAUAUAUACUAAGAUUUGAAUGAUACAAAGAAAAUUAGUAUUGACUCUGUGUAAGGAUGACAUACAAAUUUGUCUUCCACAUUUUU